CGGGGGGAGCAAGCGUUGUUCGGAUUCACUGGGCGUAAAGGGUGCGCAGGCGGCCGGGUGUGUGAGGCGUGAAAGCCCGAUGCUUAACAUCGGAAUUGCACCUCAAACUACACGGCUAGAGCAUUGGAGAGGGUAGCGGAAUUCACGGUGUAGCAGUGAAAUGCGUAGAUAUCGUGAGGAACACCAGAGGCGAAGGCGGCUACCUGGACAAUUGCUGACGCUCAGGCACGAAAGCGUGGGGAGCAAAAGGGAUUAGAUACCCCUGUAGUCCACGCCCUAGACGGUGCACACUAGGUCUUGGCGGAUUCGACCCCACCGACGGGCCCCAGCUAACGCGUUAAGUGUGCCGCCUGAGGACUACGGUCGCAAGACUA
This 374-nucleotide ribosomal RNA is filed under the name uncultured organism. RNAcentral's name for it is "bacterial SSU rRNA". It matches the Rfam family "Bacterial small subunit ribosomal RNA", at positions 526 to 896 of the family's 1533-position model. The record is from RNAcentral.